Molecule: long non-coding RNA, 2129 nt
Filed under: Lepisosteus oculatus (spotted gar)
Lineage: Eukaryota; Metazoa; Chordata; Actinopteri; Semionotiformes; Lepisosteidae
Description: lncRNA (ENSLOCG00000022027.1)
Source: RNAcentral
UCUGCAGCAGCUGGGCUCUGAACAGACACAAGCGAUCUCUCGGCCUGCUCUCGCCUGUAUCCCCCCCUGCUCCCCUGUGUGUUUCUGUCCGCUGGGCUGUCUCACCUCCACCGCGACCACAGCAGCACAGACUCCCAGGAUCAGCGUGAGGUUCUGCUUCAGCCAAUUUGUAAUGCCCAGCUUACAGCCCUGGAAAGAGAGAGUAUACCGACUGUAAUGUAGACGCUCAUCUUCUCCUUAUCCUUAUCUUCAUUCCACAUUCUCAUCGUCAUCCUCCUCCUCACUUUCAUUCUGAUCCUCAUCCUCAUUCUCACAGAAAUCUUCGUCCUCCUCCUCCUCUUCCUCAUUCUUAUCCUCAUUCUCAGCAUCAUUCUCAAUCUCAUCUUCAUCUUAGUUCUCGUCCUCACCCUCAUCCUCUUUCUCAUCAGCCUCAUCUUCAUUCUCAUCCUUGCCCUCAUCCUCAGUCUCAUCCUUUCUUUUCAUCCUCAUCUUCAUCCUCAAUCGCAUCUUCUUAUCCCAAUCCUCACCCUCAUCAUCCUCAUCUUCAUCCUCAAUCUCAUCCUCUUUCUUAUCCCAAUCCUCACCCUCAUCNNNNNNNNNNNNNNNNNNNNNNNNNNNNNNNNNNNNNNNNNNNNNNNNNNNNNNNNNNNNNNNNNNNNNNNNNNNNNNNNNNNNNNNNNNNNNNNNNNNNCGGCCGCGGGGGUCUCGGACGACAGCUUCCUGAGGGAUCUGGACCAGCCCACCGAGGGCUCUGAGUCCCUAUUGGUGGACGCUGCCGGAGACUCAGAGUAAGGGGGCGGAGCUGGGGUGCUCCAGGUGUAAAAGUGGGCGGCGACUGAGGCUGAGCUGUACAGGCAGGACCAGGAGCCCUCAACCUGCAGCUCAGUGUGGCUUCCUGUCCAGUUUCAUACAUCAGCUGGGUCCUGACUGUGUUAUAAAUCAGACUGGGACAGCUGGGUCUGUCCUGUGUUAUAAAUCAGACUGGGACAGCUGGGUCUGUCCUGUGUUAUAAAUCAGACUGGGACAGCUGAGCUCUGACUGUGUUAUAAAUCAGACUGGGACAGCUGAGCUCUGACUGUGUUAUAAAUCAGACUGGGACAGCUGGGUCUGACUGUGUUAUAACUCAGACUGGGACAGCUGAGCUCUGACUGUGUAAUAACUCAGACUGGGACAGCUGAGCUCUGACUGUGUUAUAACUCAGACUGGGACAGCUGAGCUCCCCUGAUGGGAGAGGACAGGCAGAGCUGUAGGCUGAGCAGUCUCAGGCUUGCAUGCUGUCUUCCUCUUACUGGAGAAGGGCGCAGAACCGUUUUAGUUCGUAAUCCAGCUGUGGUAGCGGAUUUGAACACAGAAGUCCUAACAGCAGGGUAAAAAGUGAAGAGUAAUCCGACCCACAAUGCAGGAAGGGCAUAGAAAACAGUGAGAAACUGGGAGCCCUCCAGGACUCCAAUUCCCAUCAUGCUGCUCUUCACCCUCGGAGAUGGGCAUGCUGGGAAGUGUAGUUUUACAUGUUUUACAGAGCUGGGACGAACAUGACAGGUCACCUGAGGGAGAGGAGUUAUGCCAAAGAAUUAUAAACAGACGCAGUAGUUAGACCGACAGCAGCUGUUCAGAUCCACAGGAGCGUACAGGGGGUAGGAGUUUGUACCUGUGCUGAGGUAUAUUUACAAUGAGAUUGACAAAUAUAGAUAGGUCACAGUGUUUAUCGCGCUUUGACUGUUGCUGAUUCUUUCUGACACCCCCUUCCAGGGUGAGUUGGUAUCGUCCUGCACAGAAGGGUGGUGGCGAAGAGCAGACGGACAGUUCCAUGUCUUUCCCAGUAGAGGGGGGGUAGGGAGGAGUAGGUUACUGUGUGAAGCCCCUGUGGGUGGAGCAGGUCAGAAACACAUGACCAGACACAGCCGGGUCGCCAAGACAGCCCCAAGGGCACUGGGACCCCCAGUUCCUCACUGUACAGACACCCCAACACCCCUGUGACCCUCUCUGUGGGUCUGACAGCCCCAGGGGCACUGGGACCCCAGUUUCUCACUGUACAGACACCCCAACACCUCUGUGACAGUCUCUGUGGGUCUGACAGCCCCAGGGGCACUGGGACCCCCAGUUUCUCACUGUACAGACACCCCAACACC